RNAcentral lists this long non-coding RNA (447 nucleotides) under Homo sapiens (human). RNAcentral's name for it is "non-protein coding lnc-DEC1-6:1". Lineage: Eukaryota; Metazoa; Chordata; Mammalia; Primates; Hominidae. The record is from RNAcentral.
GAGGUGAAGAGGGAAGCAUCUUCUGAAAUUGAAGAACUUGGAUUCUUUAAAAACUAAUAUGUUGAGAAUGGAGAGUACAAGGGAAAUGAAUGAUGUGACUUUUCCAUAGUAACAACUCACAUUUUCCCCAUAACAUUAGAAGAUUUAUUGAAGGAAAAUAUUGGCCAUUUAAGGGUUUAUUUGUCUAGAAAAGACAAGUGGUGGGUGUGGGGGUUAAACUCAAUGUUCAUUAUUGAUGGGGGCAUGUUGUACUGUUUGAAAUGCGGUGUUUGUUGAAAUUCUCAAAAGCCUUAUCAGAACAAUCAGUCCAUAUAAAGCCCCAACACCAACUGUAAAACCACAAUCUACAAUUCCAAUAUUGCUUUAACCUCUACAAACAACCCCUUGAACUCAGAGUGAAAAUAGAGUCACAUUUGUUGGAUGUUUCCAGUUGAUCUCUCAGGUCCC